This is a long non-coding RNA of Peromyscus leucopus (white-footed mouse), 958 nucleotides long. RefSeq lists it as uncharacterized. Lineage: Eukaryota; Metazoa; Chordata; Mammalia; Rodentia; Cricetidae. The transcript is spliced from 5 exons. The record is from RefSeq and is a predicted model, not a curated record.
CCUUGUUUGAAGUGUUGGCUCUGGCACAUCCCCACUGGUGAUGUGUCAUAACCUCCCAGGGCUUGGUGCUUCUUACUAGCAGUUGGAGACAAGGCUAGACCUCUAUCUAGUCUCUGUGGGGAGACAACAGCUGUAAGAGGACCUGGAAGCUUCCUGUAAAGUUUUCCAAGACCUCAGAUUCUUCAGCCUCUUGUGAGGCCUUGCGUUGAUCAGACAGUGAGGAACACAGGUCUGGUCUCUGAAAAAAAAAAAAAAAAAAACAACGCCAGCUGGUGGAAGACAUAGCAAAGGAGAGCCCGGCAACCUGAUGAGGUUUGUGUCCAGAUGACAAAACACCACCCAGGACAAUCGAGGCACAGUGUUAGGUACUGGAGAGAGAGGCCAAACAUGCCAUUGGCCCUGCCUUGCCCCAGCAGCCUCGUCCCGGGCUGGAGAAGCCAUCAAGUACAGCGCGGGAGUCCUGGGUUCCGAAUGAAGGGUCUCUCUACAUCGCCCUGGGUUCCUAGAACUCACUACACAGAGUAGACUGGGCUCAGAUUCACAGAGGUCCUCCUGCCUCUGCCUCCCGAGUGCUGGGAUUAAAGGUGAGUGCCACCCCUGCCUGGCAUAAGUGACUUUCUUAAAACUUCCUCCACUUGCCUGAGGUGGCAGAGGGAAGAAACCCCGGCUCUCAACCUCACUCUUCUCCUCCCUGUCUGGGGGUGGGUCUGGGGCCCCAGAGCCUGUCUUGCUCUCUUGGUAAGUCUACAGCUAUGUUUGACACUAUCUACUGGGUGGGGUCUGGGCAGACGCAGAUGACAUGCCCAAGAAUAUGGCUGGGGAGAGUAGAGAAGGCCAUCCAAAGGCCUGGGCAGAAUGUGAAAACUAUUUUCAGUAAAGGAGGCAAGGGAGCCGGGCGGUGGUGGCACACGCCUUUAAUCCCAGCACUUGGGAGGCAGAGCCAGGUGGAUCUCUGUGA